UACGGAGGGUGCGAGCGUUGUCCGGAUUCACUGGGCGUAAAGGGCGCGUAGGCGGCCUCGUCAGUCGGGCGUUUAAGUGCGGGGCUCACCCCCGUAGCGCGCCCGGGACGGCGGGGCUGGGGCGCGGCAGAGGGAGACGGAAUGCCGGGUGUAGUGGUGAAAUGCGUAGAUAUCCGGCGGAACACCGGUGGCGAAGGCGGUCUCCUGGGCCGUGGCCGACGCUGAGGCGCGAGAGCGUGGGGAGCGAACCGG
Molecule: unclassified non-coding RNA, 252 nt
Filed under: uncultured Chloroflexota bacterium
Lineage: Bacteria; Bacillati; Chloroflexota
Description: uncultured Chloroflexi bacterium contains 16S-23S intergenic spacer region
Rfam family: Bacterial small subunit ribosomal RNA
Source: RNAcentral